RNAcentral lists this ribosomal RNA (253 nucleotides) under uncultured bacterium. RNAcentral describes it as "partial 16S ribosomal RNA". It matches the Rfam family "Bacterial small subunit ribosomal RNA", at positions 524 to 776 of the family's 1533-position model. The record is from RNAcentral.
UACGUAGAGCGCAAGCGUUAUCCGGAAUUAUUGGGCGUAAAGAGCUCGUAGGCGGUUUGUCGCGUCUGCCGUGAAAGUCCGGGGCUCAACUCCGGAUCUGCGGUGGGUACGGGCAGACUAGAGUGAUGUAGGGGAGACUGGAAUUCCUGGUGUAGCGGUGAAAUGCGCAGAUAUCAGGAGGAACACCGGUGGCGAAGGCGGGUCUCUGGGCCGAAACUGACGCUGAGGAGCGAAAGCAUGGGGAGCGAACAGG